UACGGAGGGUGCAAGCGUUAUCCGGAUUCACUGGGUUUAAAGGGUGUGUAGGCGGAUUUUUAAGUCAGUGGUGAAAUCUCCGGGCUCAACCCGGAAACUGCCAUUGAUACUAUUAGUCUUGAAUUCUGUUGAGGUGGGCGGAAUACAUCAUGUAGCGGUGAAAUGCUUAGAUAUGAUGUAGAACACCGAUUGCGAAGGCAGCUCACUAAGCA
RNAcentral lists this ribosomal RNA (212 nucleotides) under uncultured bacterium. RNAcentral's name for it is "partial 16S ribosomal RNA". It matches the Rfam family "Bacterial small subunit ribosomal RNA", at positions 524 to 735 of the family's 1533-position model. The record is from RNAcentral.